UACGAAGGGGGCUAGCGUUGCUCGGAAUCACUGGGCGUAAAGCGCACGUAGGCGGACUCUUAAGUCGGUGGUGAAAUCCUGGAGCUCAACUCCAGAACUGCCUUCGAUACUGGGAGUCUCGAGUUCGGGAGAGGUGAGUGGAACUGCGAGUGUAGAGGUGAAAUUCGUAGAUAUUCGCAAGAACACCAGUGGCGAAGGCGGCCAUCUGGACGGUAACUGACGCUGAGGAGCGAAAGCGUGGGGAGCGAACAGG
Molecule: ribosomal RNA, 253 nt
Filed under: uncultured bacterium
Lineage: Bacteria
Description: partial 16S ribosomal RNA
Rfam family: Bacterial small subunit ribosomal RNA
Source: RNAcentral